This 409-nucleotide ribosomal RNA is filed under the name bacterium. RNAcentral's name for it is "partial 16S ribosomal RNA". It matches the Rfam family "Bacterial small subunit ribosomal RNA", at positions 355 to 776 of the family's 1533-position model. The record is from RNAcentral.
UGGGGAAUAUUGCACAAUGGGCGAAAGCCUGAUGCAGCGACGCCGCGUGAGGGAUGACGGCCUUCGGGUUGUAAACCUCUUUCAGCAGGGACGAAGCGCAAGUGACGGUACCUGCAGAAGAAGCACCGGCUAACUACGUGCCAGCAGCCGCGGUAAUACGUAGGGUGCAAGCGUUGUCCGGAAUUACUGGGCGUAAAGAGUUCGUAGGCGGUUUGUCGCGUCGUUUGUGAAAACCAGCAGCUCAACUGCUGGCUUGCAGGCGAUACGGGCAGACUUGAGUACUGCAGGGGAGACUGGAAUUCCUGGUGUAGCGGUGAAAUGCGCAAAUAUCAGGAGGAACACCGGUGGCGAAGGCGGGUCUCUGGGCAGUAACUGACGCUGAGGAACGAAAGCGUGGGUAGCGAACAGG